RNAcentral lists this ribosomal RNA (191 nucleotides) under Pratylenchus zeae. Its description in RNAcentral is "partial 18S ribosomal RNA". It matches the Rfam family "Eukaryotic small subunit ribosomal RNA", at positions 1641 to 1830 of the family's 1831-position model. The record is from RNAcentral. Lineage: Eukaryota; Metazoa; Nematoda; Chromadorea; Rhabditida; Pratylenchidae.
UUGAUUACGUCCCUGCCCUUUGUACACACCGCCCGUCGCUGCCCGGGACUGAGCCAUUUCGAGAAACUUGGGGACCGCUGGCUUGUGGCACUCGUUGUUGCAUGUCGGUGGAAACCAAUUUAAUCGCAGUGGCUUGAACCGGGCAAAAGUCGUAACAAGGUAGCUGUAGGUGAACCUGCUGCUGGAUCAUU